UUUCUUGAUAGAAAAAUGAGAUGCUUACAAUCUUGAAAGCAUGCAUUACAUGUUUGAAUUUUACUGAAUAUGAAGCACGCCAUCACAGGCUUCUCGUUGAUCUUCUUCGUAAGAACGAUUUCAAUUAAUUAUAAUGUAAGUUCUCAAUCUACAUGUAUCUUUGACUGUUUGAUGAAAAGUGUAUUUUUGUGACUGUGUUGUAAGUCAAAAUUAGGAUAACACGUCGAGGCAAAAUUAACCAAGCACCAUGACGGAGACCUUAACGGAGGAAAAAGUAUUCGAACUAGCAGAGGCUGUGGCGGUCGAUAAAAAUUUAUUAAUUCUCGGGUUGAAACUGGGAUUUAAGGAGCCAAAGGUUAAGAUGUACAUCAGUACGAAUAAACGAAAUGAAAGUUCAGAAGGAACCAGCUCCAUGCUGUUCGACUGGAAGAGAAAGACACCGAGAGCGCAGCAAAUACCCGAUCUCAUCAAGGCACUGAAUGAAUCUGGAUUUGCGGAAUUAGUUGAUGAUUUCUUCCCAUCUGGACUUGCUGGAGGUGGUAAGUCGCAACCCAUGCAGUAAGUGCAGUAAACCCUUCUACUGCAGCUUCGAACACUGACAAUGCACAUGUAUCUACUGAGAGACUAGUGACUGAUGGUGAGAUCACCAGGCUAGCAAGUCGCCUCCCUUACGGAAGAUACAGUCAGCUCUGUGAAGAAUUGGGAUUUCAUUACAACUCCGCACAAAGCAUAUUGGUCAAACAUCAACGGGACUCGACGGCUGCUUUCAAAGAAGUAUUACAGGAAUGGAAGGACAAAGGUGGAUUUAUGGUAGAUCUUGAUACAGCUCUGAAGAACUCAGACCUUGGAGGACUUAUACAUGUCUAUAAGAAAUAGACAUGUCAUUUUACAUUUCAUGUCGAAGCGUCGUUGUGUACCACUUCUGACUCUCUCCCUGUAAUCAGAAUGUUAUGUGUUUGAACCUCAAGCGAGUUUGAAACUAAGAUUUGAGCCACACCUGCUAACUCGAGCCCUAACUCUUGUACUAUUUCUUUAAGAACAAAGAAAAACAAGACCGAAACAAAUAUAUGUAUGUCUUUGAUAUCUCCCAGCCCUCCCCCUUAUUUUUAUUGAGUCUUUUUGUUCAGAGUUUUCCAAUGAAUAUAAUCAAAUAUCGGAAAUUUUAUUAUUUGUUUUUUAUUUGAUUUGAUUUGAUUUAUUUAUUUCCGUUUCCCAAUUAUACAUGAUAUGAUUAAC
RNAcentral lists this unclassified non-coding RNA (1236 nucleotides) under Lytechinus variegatus (green sea urchin). RNAcentral describes it as "uncharacterized LOC121420711, transcript variant X1". The record is from RNAcentral. Lineage: Eukaryota; Metazoa; Echinodermata; Echinoidea; Temnopleuroida; Toxopneustidae.